GCUUUGUUGAGGGCAGUUGCCUCGAGCACUACUUCCUAAUUGGUUUUCUAAUGUCACCAAGUGAAGAAAAGACCUGUGCACACAGGACACAGCCUGGUCUGACGCUUACGGUGUUUUCCUUUCUCUCUGCAGAGGGACUCAGCGAUUCGGGCAAGCUGUGCGUACUCUGGGGUCAUCGCUUUGCUAAGGAACAAUCUUAGGGUUGAGAAAGGUGACACUUUUCUCCCCGCAUUUGCUGGAGACCCACCCUGGAUUGAGCUUCUUCCUGGAAAUGAGAUUCCACCGUGGAUCCAAUGGAGGAACACCUCAGGGAGAAGAAAAAGGAGGCCCCAUGGAAAGUGAAGGAGGCCUGGAGAGAGCAGGAGAGUGGUAUGUAUGGGGGAAUCCCUCCCGUGUGAAUGAGGAAUCCAGGUGAUGAGGAAUGUGCCGCCGUCUCGCUGGCUUUCCUGCACACAGGCAGCCGGAGUGGAGCUUCCUGUUGUGACUGAGGACCAGGCUGUGGUGGUGAAGUGGUUGCUCCAGAUAGAAGCAGCUGGACCCCACAGUGUGGCAUGUGUUCGUUUGAACAUUGUACGGUGACCUGUCACGGAGGUC
RNAcentral lists this long non-coding RNA (594 nucleotides) under Cercocebus atys (sooty mangabey). RNAcentral describes it as "lncRNA (ENSCATG00000045698.1)". The record is from RNAcentral. Lineage: Eukaryota; Metazoa; Chordata; Mammalia; Primates; Cercopithecidae.